GGCACCCCAGAAUAGCCUGGCAGUAUAUAUGUUAUGUGUUUGUAUGGUAUGCGGUACGUUGGGGGAACUCACUAAGCUUUGUGCUUACGUUUACAGUUUUGUUUUCAGGUACCUCUGCAUCGAAGGGGAAGGAGCCGGCGCGGUAGCGGCACGUCAUACACACACUCUUCGGUUUCCGCAUUUAUGAGAUUUACUGGGAUUGUACUCUGAUAUUUGAUGGGAUGUACGGUUUGGCUUUUGAGAACAUGGUUGCAAUGUGUUAUGGUGUGAACAAACAAUGUUUCUUUUUAUUUAGACAAUGUUUUUAUUUAUUAAUGUUUUCUAAAGUAAUAUCAAAAAAAAAAAAAAUUUUGGGUCGUUACAAGUUGGUAUCAGAGCCCUGGUUUGAGGGAUUCGGACACGCCUUCGGGAGUGUUUGGACUCAAACCGAGGGAUUGAAAGAUUUUUCCAAAAGAAAUUAUUCUUUAAAACCCGGAAAAGAGUCACGAGAAAGAGUAAAGUGUGUGACGUGCGCGACCGGCCGAGCUCAAGUAAGUAUUCCCCAUAGUACCCAUACAAGUUUAUGUUAUGUUUAUCAGCUUUAUGAAUAUUGCAUGCUAGAAUAGGCUAAGGAUCUAGGAGUGAUGCCUUAUGUGCCUGUUUAUUUGUUACAGCUUAUUGAAUAUUGCAUGCUAGAAUUGAGUAGACAGCAGUAGGGUAGCCUGUUUAGGUUAUGCCUGAUAGUAUGAGCUUAGCAUCCUAUGUUAAGUGUCGUUUCUUGUUCUAAGAACAGUUUUGGCUUGAGUCUGUUUUUCCUUAUCCGAAUGCUGCUUGCUUCGUGCUCGGUGGGAUUCUGAGUAAUGGGAGUGAGCCACUAGGUAAACACGUCACACCACAUGUAAUCGGGGUUGAAUAAUCCCAAAGUGUUGGAACUGGCCCUAUUGCGCAGCUCUUGUUUGAGUCCAACCGUUGUAGGGACGGGCCUUUUACUUGAAGGAUGAUCUAAUCCUCAUCACAGGUGGUGGUGUUUAGGUGGUGGCUAACUGGCAUUAUGAGGAGACCUACAGCAGCUGAGGACCAGUUGUGUUGAACUUGAGUUCUCCCUAGGGCAAGCCUAGGGUGAGAAUAUCGGAGAGUAGCAGUAGUAGAGGGGAGUUGGUGGAGUCGAGGAAUUCCUCGGAGAAGGUACGGAUAGAUGUGGAAGGUAGUAUGGGCCCGUACUACUGAAAGCAGAGGAUCCGUACCCGAGCCGAGGAAGGCCAAGACGAGACCAAGGAACCUGUAAGUAGUUGAGAUCCCUCAGAAAGUAGCAGUACCACUAAUGAUUAUUAUUGAUGUUUUGCAGAAUGGUGGUACUUCGACCGAGACCGACAGAUGGCGGGUCAGGAGAGGGGUCAGGUUCGGGAUCUGGCACCGAGCCGAUUGAGGAGAGGCUACGUGAGUUCAUCACGUCGGAGAUCACUAGGGGCAUCCUUGAGUCGACCCCCAUCAUCUUUGGGUCGAUCAAGGAAGGGAUCGUGGAGAUGAUGGAGGAUCGCCUACGGGCAUUCAGGAGCGACUUGGCCUCUAGCCAGUCAGGAUCUCGCACACUGUCCUUCAAGGACUUCAGGAGCAGUGGUGCGCCGGAUUUCCAUGGGGUGAAGGACCCCAUUGUCGCCAGGCGGUGGAUUGCGGAUAUCGAGUCCGCCCAGUUGAUCAGCUUCUGCCCCGAGGGGUCGAAGGUGAGGUACGCAGCAGGGUGUUUACGGGACCGGGCCCGAGAUUGGUGGGAGUCAGUGGGUGACUCGAUGGGAGCCUCGGCUAUCGAGGCAAUGACCUGGUCGGACUUUGUGGCUAGGUUCAGGGCAGAGUUUGCGCCAGCGGUCGAGCUUCAGCAGCUGGCCAGGGAGUUCUUAGACAUGAGGCAGACGACAGAGACCGUGGCGGAGAUCACCGCCAAGUUUCGGGAGAGGGCUUUAUUGGUGCCCCAGUAUGCAGGUGACGAGGAUAUGAGGAGGACUCGUUACCAUGAUAUGCUACGAGCUGACAUUCGGGAGCAUGUUAGUUUUUCGGCUUGCCCUACCCUGGACUCCAUGAUUGCCAGGGCUAGGGAGAGAGAGAUAGAUUUGGAGCACAUCCGGAAACGGAAACUUGAGGAUGGUCAGUCAUCGGGGGCUUCGGGGAAGAAGCCCAAGGGAUCAGAUGGGAGGCCGAAAGGCCAGUCGGGACCGAGCCGCUGCAGGAGGUGCGGCAGGCCGCACGAGGGGGCGUGCAGGAUGGGAUCGUCAGGCUGCUACAAGUGCGGCAAGUUUGGGCAUAUCAGCAGGGAUUGCACUGCUCCUGCGACCGUUAUUCAGACAUCGGAGUUGCUGUGUUUCCACUGCAACCAGAGGGGCCACAAGAAGGCCAAUUGCCCCAUGUUGACAGCUUCAGCGCCAGUGAAGGCGCCAGCUCCAGCGACCCUGCGGAUCACGGAUGGCCGUCAGGGCAAGGCAGAGGCUCCAGUGGUGAGGAGUCGGGCAUUUCAGUUGACUGCCGAGGAGGCACGCGCCGCGCCCGAUGUGGUGACGGGUAUGAUUCCUUCCUUCUAUCUUUUAUUUUACGUUGUUAUGAUAUUGAUAUGUGCUCCGUGUGUAUACAUGUGUAUUAGGAUCGUUCCAUGUGAACGGCAUCCCGGUUCAGGUAUUGUUCGACUCGGGUGCAUCCCGAUCGUUCGUUUCUCUUGCUCUUAGCAAGAGAUUUCAUGAGACUUCAGGCGAGUUAGAUUGCCCGUUAGAGGUAGAGAUUGCCGAUGAUCGAUCGGUGCGAGCAUCGAUGGUGUUUCGAGAUUGUGUCCUGCGACUGUUUGAGGAGUGUUACCUGGUAGACUUGGUUCCCAUUCCAUUGCGUGGGAACAAGGUGAUUAUUGGUAUGGAUUGGUUGAGCCCUAAUGGGGCAGUGAUAGAUUGCGCACAGCAGCUAGUGCGAGUCAAGACCCCAAGCGGGGGAGAGUUAGUGAUUCAUGGAGAGCGGCCGCAGUGUGGACCCACUGUAUGUUCAGCAGCGAGGGCUAGGCGCUACCUUCAGCAGGGAUGCGCGGGUUAUGUCGCGUACGUGAUGGACACCCGGGAGGCGGGUAAGGCGACCGUGAGCGAGGUCCCGGUGGUUCGAGAUUUUGCUGAUGUUUUUCCGGAGGAACUACCUGGGAUACCUCCGGAGCGACAGGUGGAGUUCAGGAUUGACCUCGUUCCCGGUGCGGCUCCGAUAGCCAAAGCACCGUAUCGGUUGGCUCCUCCCGAGAUGCAGGAGUUGUCUACGCAGCUGCAGGAGCUGCUGGACAAGGGAUUUAUUCGGCCGAGCAGUUCGCCCUGGGGAGCCCCGAUUCUGUUUGUGAAGAAGAAGGAUGGGUCGCAUCGGAUGUGUAUAGAUUAUCGGGAGCUGAACAAGGUAACGGUGAAGAACCGUUACCCGCUUCCGAGGAUUGAUGACCUCUUUGACCAGCUUCAGGGCGCAUCUUGGUUCUCCAAGAUUGAUUUGCGUUCGGGUUAUCAUCAGAUGAGGGUCAGGGAGGAGGAUAUGCAGAAGACCGCGUUUCGGACGCGCUAUGGCCAUUACGAGUUUGUGGUGAUGCCGUUUGGGCUCACCAAUGCUCCUGCCGCGUUCAUGGACCUCAUGAACCGUGUAUGCAGACCGAUGCUGGACCGGUCUGUGAUAGUCUUUAUCGAUGAUAUCUUGGUUUAUUCCAAGACCCGGGAGGAACAUGAGGAGCAUUUGAGAGAGGUGUUAGAGACCCUGAGGAGGGAGAGCUUGUAUGCCAAGUUCUCCAAGUGUGAGUUUUGGUUGCGCGAGGUGCAAUUUCUGGGGCACCUCGUCAACCAGAACGGGAUUCUGGUCGAUCCGGCCAAGGUCGAGGCCGUGAUGAGAUGGGAGGUUCCGAAGUCCCCAUCUGAGAUUCGGAGCUUCCUAGGAUUGGCAGGCUACUAUCGGAGAUUUAUCCAGGAUUUCUCCAAGAUAGCCGUGCCCCUGACGCGGCUGACGAAGAAAGCCGUGGUCUUUCGGUGGGGACCCGAGCAGCAGGCUGCAUUUGAGACGCUGAGACAGAGAUUGUGUGAGGCGCCGAUCUUAGCCCUGCCAGAGGGCGUAGAGGAUUUCGUGGUUUAUUGCGAUGCGUCCAUUUCUGGGUUGGGCGCGGUGCUGAUGCAAAGGGGGCAUGUCAUUGCUUACGCUUCGAGGCAGCUCAAGCCUCACGAGGCGAACUACCCGACGCACGAUUUGGAGUUGGGGGCGGUGGUAUUUGCCCUCAAGAUUUGGCGACAUUACCUCUAUGGGGUUCGGUGUACCAUCUACACGGACCACAAGAGCUUGAGGUACCUCAUGGACCAGCCGAAUCUGAACAUGAGGCAGCGUCGGUGGUUGGAUGUGGUGAAGGAUUAUGAUUGCGAGAUCCUUUACCACCCGGGAAAGGCCAAUGUGGUGGCCGAUGCGCUUAGCCGCAAGACGGCGCCGAUCAGGGACGCCUGUUUGAGGAUGACUGUGGUGACUCCCCUGUUGGAGCAGAUUCGGGAAGCUCAACAGGAGGCUAUCAAGGAGGAGCAUCGGAAGAACGAGCGCGUAGUAGGUCAGGUUUCCUCCUUCGAUUAUGAUAGCCGAGGGUUAUUGACACUACACCAUAGGGUGUGGGUGCCGUAUCACGGGGGCGUGCGCCAGAUUUUGAUGGAGGAGGCGCACAAGUCCCGAUUCUCUAUUCAUCCCGGGGCGACGAAGAUGUAUAGGGAUCUUCGUCUAGACUAUUGGUGGCCCUGCAUGAAGCGGGAUGUGGCAUGGUACGUCGAGCGGUGCUUGACCUGCAGGAAGGUCAAGGCCGAACAUCAGAGGCCGCAUGGCAAGAUGCAGCCGUUGGACAUUCCACUGUGGAAGUGGGAAGAUAUCACGAUGGAUUUUAUCACGAAGCUUCCCAGGACCGCGCGUGGAGUGGAUUCGAUUUGGGUCAUCGUGGAUAGAUUGACCAAGAGUGCUCACUUUAUUCCGAUUCCGGAGAGCAUAUCGGCCGAGAAAUUGGCCGACAUCUAUAUCAGGGAGAUUGUGGCACGGCAUGGGGUGCCAGUAUCGGUGAUCUCGGACAGGGAUGUGCGUUUUACUUCCAGGUUUUGGAAGAGAUUCCAUGACGAGUUGGGCACUCGUCUGCAUUUCAGCACCGCCUUUCACCCGCAGACAGAUGGACAGAGUGAGCGGACCAUCCAGACUUUGGAGGACAUGUUGCGGGCGUGUGUUCUGGAUUUCGGUGGUAGCUGGGAUACCUAUCUUCCUUUGGCUGAGUUCUCCUACAACAACAGCUAUCACGCGAGUAUCGACCGCCCUCCCUUCGAGAUGUUGUACGGACGGAGGUGUAGGACCCCGAUAUGCUGGGGUGAGGUUGGCCAGAGAGUUAUGGGAAGCACCGAAGUGGUGCUCAAGACGACUGAGAGGAUACAGCAGGUCCGGAGCAGGCUUCAGACUGCUCAGAGUCGACAGAAAAGUUAUGCCGACAAGCGUCGAUCCGAUUUAGAGUUCCAGGUCGGGGAUAUGGUCCUCCUGAAGGUGUCACCGUGGAAAGGCGUCAUCCGAUUCAGGAAGCGGGGCAAGUUGGGCCCGCGAUUCAUCGGACCGUUCAGGGUCUUAGCCCGGGUGGGCAAGGUAGCAUAUAGGCUGGAUCUGCCAGCCGAGCUUAGCCAGAUCCACAGCACUUUCCAUGUUUCGCAGUUGCGGAAGUGCCUAGUGGACGAUUCUGCAGUAGUACCUUUGGAGGAUAUUCAGGUUGAUGACAGCCUGAACUACAUCGAGCGCCCAGUCGCAAUCCUCGACAGGAAGUCGAAGGAUUUAAGGAACAAGAGGGUGGAGCUAGUGAAGGUGCAAUGGCAGCACCGCAAGGGUUCAGAGUGGACUUGGGAGCCGGUAGACGAGAUGAUGGAGCACUACCCCGAGCUGUUUCAGGAUCAGGCAGCAGACUUCGAGGACGAAGUCUAAAAUAAGUGGGGGAGAUUUGUAGCACCUGGUUUCCGGUAUGUGAAUUUUAUUUGAGCAUUGCCCUAAUUUAGCCUUAGACUCGGCGAGUCAUAGGGUCCGACUCGCCGAGUAGGGACGAGACUCAGGACGCGUUUUAAGUAGGCGACUCGACGAGUCCAUAUCCUGGACUCGGCGAGUCACCGCUGCGGGAUGAAACCCUAAGUUUCAAGGGUUUGCACCCUAUUUAAACCCUCAUUCCGCCCCAACUCGUCCCCAUUCACCCCCAGAACUCCCCCUACAUCGUUUUCCCUUGUUUCCUUGAGAGUUUGAGGUGUUCUUGGUGUGUUCUUGAAGGUUUUGAAGAGUAAGAGGAGUAGAUCAAGAAGAGGAGAAGGAGAUCAGCCAUCCUUGUGUCAUUUCAACAUUUCCUUUGAGGUAUAACCCGUUUUCCCCUUGAUUCUAUGCUUAAAACUUCAUUUGGGUCCUUCUUGGUCAAUUCCCCAAGUUUGCAUGUUCAUUAUAUGUUGUAAUAAGGCGUUUGGCCUUUGGAUCUAUGUAAGAUUGAGCUCCAGGAGCUCAGAUCUGUUAGCUUUUUGGCCUCAUGAGGCUUGUUAGCCCUAGAUCUACCAUUUUGAGACAUUUUGAGCCUUAUAAUCCAUAUUGGUGAAUAUCCACACGUAAAGUUGGAAACUUUACGUGUGAUUCGUGUCCUAGAAGUCCAGAUCUAUGAAUGGCAUGGUCUGGAACCGAGCAAAUCGGUAUAUUUAAGGAGUGCAUGGCGACGACUCGGCGAGUCGCAUAGGUGACUCGGCGAGUCUGGUCGCGAGUCACCGAAUUGGUCCCUUCUUCAUGUGUCGAGUUGAGCCUUGAGUCACAGGGGGUGACUCGGUGAGUUGGGAGCUGAACUCACCCAUGUUAGGACUCGGCGAGUCAAUGCCCUGACUCGGCGAGUCCAAGGCAAUCUUCAUAGCUCAAGAACAGACUCGGCGAGUUGUUCAUACAACUCGGCGAGUCUUAGCAUAAAGUGUUCAUCGGAUGAAGAUGAACUCGACGAGUUGUUCAUACAACUCGGCGAGUAGGAUGAAGGUGUUGAAUGGCAGUUAGAAGGUGAACUCGUCGAGUCAUAGCCCGACUCGACGAGUAGAACCAGGGACCCAGGACAUUGGUUUGCUAGGGACUCGGCGAGUGGUGAUCCACUCGGCGAGUCGGGUCAACUGAAAGUUGACUCCAGCUUUGGCUUAGAGUUAAUCCAGGGGUAAAAUGGUCAUUUUACCUAAAGGACAGUUAGCAGUGUUUGAUUGAGUAUGUCGUGGAAAUUGCAGCCGGAGGACUCCCGGAGCAGCAGCAGUCAGUUAGUUCCCGAUCAGUUCAGCAGCUACUUUGAGGUGAGUUACCUUCCAGUAGCGGUGGGUCUAAGGCCACAAUGCCGACCCACCAGUAGGAGUUGUAUGAUAGAUGAUUGUCUUUGUGAUAUCAUCUAAGUUCGCUAGUACCUGACAUGUUAUAUGCUAGCAUGAUAUGCUGUAUGUGAUAGUAGUAGAGUUUGGUUGUUCGGACCGAAGGGUAGUCAGACACCCCAGAUACGUCUGACAGUAUGUGACGAUAUGUAUGCAUGCUGGCUUGUUAUGUUAUAUGUGAUCGUAGUAGUAGGGGUGAAAUAGUCCCCGAGGAUCGGUUGUUAGGACCGAUGGGUAGUCAGCACCCCAGAAUGGCUUGACACGGGUAAGACGGCACCCCAGAAUGGCCGUAUGGGUAGGUCGGCACCCCAGAAUGGCCGUACCGGGUAGUCAGGCACCCCAGAAUAGCCUGGCAGUAUAUAUGUUAUGUGUUUGUAUGGUAUGCGGUACGUUGGGGGAACUCACUAAGCUUUGUGCUUACGUUUACAGUUUUGUUUUCAGGUACCUCUGCAUCGAAGGGGAAGGAGCCGGCGCGGUAGCGGCACGUCAUACACACACUCUUCGGUUUCCGCAUUUAUGAGAUUUACUGGGAUUGUACUCUGAUAUUUGAUGGGAUGUACGGUUUGGCUUUUGAGAACAUGGUUGCAAUGUGUUAUGAUGUGAACAAACAAUGUUUCUUUUUAUUUAGACAAUGUUUUUAUUUAUUAAUGUUUUCUAAAGUAAUAUC
This 8043-nucleotide long non-coding RNA is filed under the name Lactuca sativa (garden lettuce). RNAcentral describes it as "long non-coding RNA (LSAT_LNC004202)". Lineage: Eukaryota; Viridiplantae; Streptophyta; Magnoliopsida; Asterales; Asteraceae. The record is from RNAcentral.